AUCUCGAAGGAUUGCGUCUCAUUUAUCACGCAAACCAAACUCAAAAUUGCGUCAAUAUAAGGACGCAUUCUCUUUUAUGUCACACAUGCGCAGUGGCCACUCUGCUGUCUGGAGCCCCCCUGAGAUCUUUGUAGCCUAAUUUACUGAAAAAUAAGCCGUUAUUCAUGUUGCUCCACAUAACCGCGUAUUGCAACUUCAUAAUUAAAUCCCCACAACAAAAUACUGAGCUUAUGGGCUAUUUUAGUCACAUUUUAGUUCCUAGACAAAAGUCUGUUUUGCUAGGAUAUUAAUAAAAUAACAGAAACUGUUUUAUCCUAUACGAGAGCAUUUGUAGUAUUUGUCCAGAAGACUUUUGUGGCUGAAAACCAUUCAACCAGUAAGGUUUUUGAAAUAUUCAUUGUAAAUAACCCUGAUGUACCCCCACUGUUUAUGAUGAUGUCAUUUCAUCGCGACCUCCAUGCAUUGGAUUGUGGAUUUGAUUGUACUGCCUGCAGUAUGAUGUGGUUUGGCUGAGCUUUAUUCAUCAAUUGGUAAGUUAAUCUGAUAAAUUAGAUAUUUAUGAUCUACCCUAUUUGAAUGCUUGACACAGCGGCACAUCGGGAUGAUCAUGCAAUUUGUUUAUCACACAAUUCCCACUUCAUUUGUUAAGCUAACUUGGUUUUACGAGCUAGCUGCUUACACCCGUAUUGUAUUGCUCGCGUGAUUUGUGAUGUUAACAGUUUGUUUAGUCCAUAAUUUAUUAACGUGAUUGUUUAUAUGCGUGCCAUCUCAGCCACAUCCACCUCUGGUUUGCAUGUAACAUCAAAAUUAGCUGCAAGUUCAGUGUGGUGCAACUAAGUUAGCCUAGCUUUACCAAAGGUGUUGUAUGAUGGUUCUCCCUUUCCAAGGUCUCUGGCUUUUCCAAAUUCGACAUUAGCUCAUUUUGCAUCACUAACUAAUCAGUAUUAAUCUGUAUUUUGUGUGCAAAGUGCCGUUGAAAAUAUCUGAAAAAGGAGAUCUGAACAGAAAUAAGAGGAGCUAUUAAGUCACACCAACCUAAUUGUCUCUUCUAAGCACAAUCUUCUCGUUGAUUUAAUGCAUGUUAUAUUUUCCAUCCUCUCCACAGAAUAUGACAACAUUGUCUUCAUAUGGCUGUUUGUAUGCAUUAUCUAACUGAAGUUGUGUGUGGUUUUUCUGUUGCACAUUUAAGAAACUUACUAUUUCUUUUGGUCUAAAUCUUACUUUACAGUUUUACGUCUCCAGUUUUCCCUGAGGUCCAAAAUAUUCAGUGGAGUGAAACUGUUGAUGGAAGUACAGUGCAUUACCAGGCGAAUACACCGGUGGCGACAAGAUCAAGCGACAGAGAAUCGCUGGACUGUGCAGCAAGAGUGAUAGAAGUAUGUCCGUUAAAAGCAGAAUGCAAGCAGUCCAACAUUCCAAUUGGCUGUGGCGACUGUUGCAAUACCACAUCAUAGCUUAUUUGAAUAAUAAGUAAAACUACAAACUGUCGCUCAAGUCGCGCGAAUUGCCUCUAGUUGCCCGAAUCACUUUUGUUGCGCGACUCAAUGCAAAGUCAAUUACUUCCGUCGCUGGAAUCGCUGAUGUAGUGCUUGGUCUAUUUGUGACGGAUAUGUUGUGGUAGGCUAUUCACCUUCUAUUCUUGCUAUGGUUCAUUCUUCUGUUUCAGCAGCAAAAUGUAACAAGCUUGUCCUGGAGGACUGCUCUGAUGGGGAAUGCUGUGGAGGAGAGACAGGUAGAAUGUGGUCCAUCGUGUGUGCUCCCAGUGCGUUAAUACACGGACAGUCCUUUUUAAGUGCAACCAGAGGAAUAAUGUGAUUGAGAGGAAGAGUGGCCCCAUACAUUGCUUGACCUGGAGCCUACCAAAGUCUAAGGUCUCAGGUGUCUCCAGAAGAACACAUCCCAAUGAAGACCCCAGUCAUAGUCAUCAACUUGACAGCUCAGCCUGUUACCUGAACUGUGUUCUUAGAGCCAAGUGUAACUGAGGUGUUUCCACACAGUCUGUCCCCUUUAGAUCUUGAACUUGCCACCACCUAGUCAACGCAUCGGUUCGGGUAUGGGAGGCACAGCACGAUACCGCUGAGCUAAAUGACCAGUCCCUUAGCUCAGCGCUGCUGGUAUGAGGCUUCGGGAGGGAGGUUUACUAUCCUUCCAUGCCACACUCUGCUAGUUGGCCUCCGUUACACAAGCUCAAAUAAUCCAAGCAGCCAAUCCAACUUCUUCAGUACUGCCUUUGAACACUAUGAAGAACCACUCAGAACCACUGGUCCUAGAACUAAAUGACCACAUUAUACUGUUAAAGGUCCACUGUGUAGGAUGGUGAUCAGAGCAGGUAUUGCACCUAUGCUGCUCAUUGCAACUGUACUACCUAUUGUCCAUUUUGACUUUUGAAUUUUCAAGAAUUUUACCAAGUAUUUACUAGUAUGUACCAAUAUUUACUAGUAUGACCAAAAUACAGUACAUUAUGCAACUAAAUUCAAGAUGGUGGACAAUGGACUCCUUUCAUGUUUUCAUGAAAAGUGUAAUUUUCCCAGUCAUAAUGAAUACUCAGAAUUUGAUGGUGGUAAGUAUUCUGAAAAAGGUUACAUUUGUGAAUGGCCUGAAUGAAUUCUGGAAAGAAACUGCUUAAAAAUAUUACACAGCGUACCUUUUAACAUUUCAUCUGUAGUAACAGAAUGUAGCGUUUCUCAGCUGCGACUCAAACCUAGACCCUCUUUCGUGGUGGUUGUUGUAAUGACACACUAAAAGCGAUAAUAUCUGCAUGAAGCUGCUCAGAAAGUGUCACUGGAUAUAUACCUUGAUAAAAGCAACAGAAUCUUCAAAGAAGAACAGAUACAAAAUGGGAUGCAUGCAUCAUGACAUUCCAACUGGUUGCAGUGAUAUUCAUGGAAAUGUCUAAUGCCUUUUCACCAUUAACUUAAACUUCUUUUAUGUUCUGUUCUUGUCUCUUUGUUAUGAUUGAAUUAGGAGUUUUAAUUUACACAAAAGCUGACACAUUUCCCACCUUUCUGUUAAGACUUGGUCCUAAGUGUUCUGAUUUGUUUGCUGUUUUAUACCUUGUGAAUAUUGAUGAUUUUUUAAUGAUUUUUAAUAAACUAUUUUGAUCAUUACAUUGCACGUCUUAGUUAUUUACAGGAUUUUGGUCACAGUCCCUGGAGAUGUGUGGGUUUAGGUGCGUUGCACAAGGGCACUUCAGCUGAGGAUGUCGGGCGAGGUAAAGCUGGGAUUCAAACAUGCAACCCUCUGAUCUUAAACUCAUUUCCUCAAGCAUUAGACCACGACUGAUCACCUUGUUUUACUGGUGAUUUCAUGUUUAAUGCAAUAAAUAAAACAUCUUAGCAUUGAUGAUGCCCUUAGUCAUUACUGUCAUUGUCUUUUAAAGUAUGAUCACUGCAUUUUGGUCAUGGUUAUAAGGCCAAGUUAGGCUAACACUGACUUGAGGAGUCUUCAGUGCAGCAUAUUGAUAAAGUCCAGACACUGAGUUA
Molecule: long non-coding RNA, 3482 nt
Organism: Engraulis encrasicolus (European anchovy)
Lineage: Eukaryota; Metazoa; Chordata; Actinopteri; Clupeiformes; Engraulidae
Exons: 4
Source: RefSeq, a predicted model, not a curated record